Long non-coding RNA from Monodelphis domestica (gray short-tailed opossum), 2392 nucleotides. The record is from Ensembl. NCBI's taxonomy places the organism in Eukaryota, Metazoa, Chordata, Mammalia, Didelphimorphia, Didelphidae.
GUGAGAAGAGAACCAAAGGAAAGAGCAGGGUAACAAUACCUCAGAGAAGAGAGAAUCCUGGAGAAUAUGGUCCACAGUGUAAUGUUGCAGAGAAAUCAAGAAGAAUCAGAAAGGAUUCACAGAUCUGACAACUAAGAGAUACCUGGUCAGGGCUCCCCUCCAUGGCAAAUGGGACAUUUGUCUAAUGAGUUGUGAACAAAUCUGUGGGUACAGCAAUGGCUCAAGCCUCUGGAAAACUCUGUCCAUUGCCCUGGAAUUCUGGGGGUUUGCCCAAGGCAUCGAGGAGUUUAUUCUACCCUGACACCAUCCUAAUCAGAAAGAAGCAGUUUGCCAAAUCUAGGUGGCACAAUGGGAAGAUGUGGAGUCAGGAGGACAACUUUCCCACUUCAGGCCUGAUAAUCAAUCCACUGCACCAAAGAGAUGAUUAUUCUCUGCAGCCUUCUCCUUCAAAGACGAGAGCAACAGCAAGGGAUUGAUCUCCCCUAACUCUCAGAUCUAGACUUGCCCACCUGCCUGCCAGUCACCAAGCCUCUAAGUCCUCAGGUCUCACCCAACAGGUCCCAUCUCUAAAAGUCCCUCAGAGCCCACAAUUUACAACCAAGACCUCGCUUGGGCUUUUACCAUCCCAGGUUCUCUCCAGACAUCGCUCAAAAAGAGUCUGAGACCCCUGACAUGCAACGUAUUGAUUAGAUGGCUUUCAUUUCCUAGAACAAAGGUUUAGCCCCCCUCCCUUACUGUCCCCUUCAAAGGUUACCCUGUCUGACCAUGGACACAGAAACACAUUGAUAUAAUGGGCGAUUGCCCUAGGUUUCAGCAAUCAGUUGUUGGGUUCUAUUCCAGGAAAAAAAAAAAGCCAUAUUCACCAGCAAUUAAGCCAUUUUCUGGGCAGUUCAAAUGGCAUCACUAGGGUGACGCUCCAAAAAGCAGCAAGCUUGUUUUUCCCUUUUCCUUUCUGAUGGCAAACAGUUAAUGGUGCCUAGGAAGCAUGGGACAUAGAGCGAUUCUCUCCCAGUACAUGGACAGACUCUAAAAGAAUGGGGGGGGGGGACCUGGACAGCCACUUGAGAGACAGUCACACCAAGCAAGCCCUUCCCUAAGUCUCUCCCUGGGAUGAGAAAAUACAAUGAGCCCAGAAUUUCCCUGGGAUUUUCUUAAAUGUCUUACAUUUCUUAAACUAUUUUCUUCUGACUAAUGGGUGGCACUGCCAGGUCUCAGCCCUGAAAAGCCGCUCUGGCCUGCCUGCUUUCAUGUGGGGCGUUUCUAGGAGGCAGAUGUUUUAACUAGCAGGGAAAAGAAAGGUCUGUUUCUUAUUGACGGAGCCCUAGCAUGUGUCACAGUACUUCAAAGAUGCCAGGCCAGAUUGAGCAGGCGACAUCAAAAGCUUUUGACUCGUGCUGGGUAAACUUUGUAUUCUAACAUACAAGUUCUUAUCUAUUCUGCUCCAGACUUGAGAGGGGGAGGCUGAAUCUAACCAAAUCACAUUGUUUUUCCUCACAGCUGCCAACUUGGAAAAAUAUCAGGGCACAAAGGGACCACUAAAAAAAAAAGGGAGAGACAUACAGAAAGAGACGUGUUUUGUUAGUUCCUAAGCAACACAAUAUUGCCAAGAUGGGGGCUCUUAGGAAAACGAGAAGACGUUAGCUACACUUCCUAUUGAAGCCGCACCGUUAUACCCUAAUUUGUAUUUUUUUAAAAUACUAAUUAACAGAAUGUGUUUGGAUAAAGUCUGACUGUGCCACCGUCAGAAAUUCUUAGUGUAUGGAUAACUCACUUUCUUUGAGCCCAAAUCAGGCACUUUAACCCUAACUCAAUUCAAACAAAAUGAGGACACUGUUGUUGUUGUUGUUGUUGUUUUUAAACCACAUUCAUUUAAUAUUAUUUUUAAAUAGCUCGAAGAAGUUAGUCAUGUCUUCAGAAGAUUCUUUUAUUUCCAUCAUAAAAGUUUUAAAAUGUGUUUCAUUUAAACAUAAUAUACUAGACCAGUAACCAUCCUGUAAUAGAAUUUUCCCCAUUCUCAUAACCAGAGAAAAGUAAGGAUAACAUCUUUCUCCCAAAGUCUGUGUGUUCUUUGAUCGUAUGGCUUUGAUUAAAAGUGCAGCCAGAUCCACUUAUUUAUUUCCUUAGUGCAGCAUGUGUAGAAAUGCGUAGGUAUGCGUGGGGGUCCAGGUGGAUCAGUGUUGCGCAGACAGCAGUUACCCAUGAGCCUGGGGGUUUUAUUCUAUAGUGUAGAUAUAUUUGAUUCUCCUAGAAGUCUUGAUUUUGUGAUAGUUACAAGUGACCAAGAUGCUUUGAAAUAAUUUUCAUCUUUUCCUUGAUUUUCCAGCAAUUUUCCAGCAAAUUAAUCUCUUCUUUUUUUUCAGUAAAAUAAAUAGAGGCUGCUGUUGUUGAGUCA